Molecule: ribosomal RNA, 501 nt
Filed under: uncultured bacterium
Lineage: Bacteria
Description: partial 16S ribosomal RNA
Rfam family: Bacterial small subunit ribosomal RNA
Source: RNAcentral
AUUGAACGCUGGCGGCAGGCUUAACACAUGCAAGUCGAGCGGGGGAAGGUAGCUUGCUACUGGACCUAGCGGCGGACGGGUGAGUAAUGCUUAGGAAUCUGCCUAUUAGUGGGGGACGACAUCUCGAAAGGGGUGCUAAUACCGCAUACGUCCUACGGGAGAAAGCAGGGGAUCUUCGGACCUUGCGCUAAUAGAUGAGCCUAAGUCGGAUUAGCUAGUUGGUGGGGUAAAGGCCUACCAAGGCGACGAUCUGUAGCGGGUCUGAGAGGAUGAUCCGCCACACUGGGACUGAGACACGGCCCAGACUCCUACGGGAGGCAGCAGUGGGGAAUAUUGGACAAUGGGGGGAACCCUGAUCCAGCCAUGCCGCGUGUGUGAAGAAGGCCUUAUGGUUGUAAAGCACUUUAAGCGAGGAGGGGGCUACUUUAGUUAAUACCUAGAGAUAGUGGACGUUACUCGCAGAAUAAGCACCGGCUAACUCUGUGCCAGCCGCCGCCGUAA